RNAcentral lists this ribosomal RNA (569 nucleotides) under uncultured Gammaproteobacteria bacterium. RNAcentral describes it as "bacterial SSU rRNA". It matches the Rfam family "Bacterial small subunit ribosomal RNA", at positions 812 to 1381 of the family's 1533-position model. Lineage: Bacteria; Pseudomonadati; Pseudomonadota; Gammaproteobacteria. The record is from RNAcentral.
UCGAUUUGGAGUUUGUUGCCCUGAGUGAUGGGCUCCGAAGCUAACGCGAUAAAUCGACCGCCUGGGGAGUACGGCCGCAAGGUUAAAACUCAAAUGAAUUGACGGGGGCCCGCACAAGCGGUGGAGCAUGUGGUUUAAUUCGAUGCAACGCGAAGAACCUUACCUGGUCUUGACAUCCACAGAAUCUUGCAGAGAUGCGAGAGUGCCUUCGGGAACUGUGAGACAGGUGCUGCAUGGCUGUCGUCAGCUCGUGUUGUGAAAUGUUGGGUUAAGUCCCGCAACGAGCGCAACCCUUAUCCUUUGUUGCCAUUGGUUCGGCCGGGAACUCAAAGGAGACUGCCGUUGAUAAAGCGGAGGAAGGUGGGGACGACGUCAAGUCAUCAUGGCCCUUACGACCAGGGCUACACACGUGCUACAAUGGCGUAUACAAAGGGAGGCGACCUCGCGAGAGCAAGCGGACCUCAUAAAGUACGUCUAAGUCCGGAUUGGAGUCUGCAACUCGACUCCAUGAAGUCGGAAUCGCUGGUAAUCGUGAAUCAGAAUGUCACGGUGAAUACGCUCCCGGGCCU